RNAcentral lists this ribosomal RNA (508 nucleotides) under Candida albicans. RNAcentral describes it as "eukaryotic LSU rRNA". The stretch from base 141 to 294 matches the Rfam family "5.8S ribosomal RNA". The record is from RNAcentral. Lineage: Eukaryota; Fungi; Ascomycota; Pichiomycetes; Serinales; Debaryomycetaceae.
UUAUGACUGCUUAUUGCACCACAUGUGUUUUUCUUUGAAACAAACUUGCUUUGGCGGUGGGCCCAGCCUGCCGCCAGAGGUCUAAACUUACAACCAAUUUUUUAUUAACUUGUCACACCAGAUUAUUACUAAAUAGUCAAAACUUUCAACAACGGAUCUCUUGGUUCUCGCAUCGAUGAAGAACGCAGCGAAAUGCGAUACGUAAUAUGAAUUGCAGAUAUUCGUGAAUCAUCGAAUCUUUGAACGCACAUUGCGCCCUCUGGUAUUCCGGAGGGCAUGCCUGUUUGAGCGUCGUUUCUCCCUCAAACCGCUGGGUUUGGUGUUGAGCAAUACGACUUGGGUUUGCUUGAAAGACGGUAGUGGUAAGGCGGGAUCGCUUUGACAAUGGCUUAGGUCUAACCAAAAACAUUGCUUGCGGCGGUAACGUCUACCACGUAUAUCUUCAAACUUUGACCUCAAAUCAGGUAGGACUACCCGCUGAACUUAAGCAUAUCAAAAGCCGGAGGAA